GAUGAACGCUGGCGGCGUGCCUAAUACAUGCAAGUCGAGCGAACAGACGAGGAGCUUGCUCCUCUGACGUUAGCGGCGGACGGGUGAGUAACACGUGGAUAACCUACCUAUAAGACUGGGAUAACUUCGGGAAACCGGAGCUAAUACCGGGUAAUAUAUUGAACCGCAUGGUUCAAUAGUGAAAGACGGUUUUGCUGUCACUUAUAGAUGGAUCCGCGCCGCAUUAGCUAGUUGGUAAGGUAACGGCUUACCAAGGCAACGAUGCGUAGCCGACCUGAGAGGGUGAUCGGCCACACUGGAACUGAGACACGGUCCAGACUCCUACGGGAGGCAGCAGUAGGGAAUCUUCCGCAAUGGGCGAAAGCCUGACGGAGCAAUGCCGCGUGAGUGAUGAAGGUCUUCGGAUCGUAAAACUCUGUUAUUAGGGAAGAACAAAUGUGUAAGUAACUAUGCACGUCUUGACGGUACCUAAUCAGAAAGCCACGGCUAACUACGUG
Molecule: ribosomal RNA, 497 nt
Filed under: uncultured bacterium
Lineage: Bacteria
Description: partial 16S ribosomal RNA
Rfam family: Bacterial small subunit ribosomal RNA
Source: RNAcentral